GCCAGGCUCCUGGAAGCGCAGAAACAGGAGCAGAUUUGCAAAGGAGGAGAAAGCCCGGACGUGGAGGGCUCGAAGUGGGCUUGAACUGCUGGAGGUGCUAAGAAACGGUUUCCUUCCUCCUCAGAUCUCUCCGCAGUCUGCGACAGGCCAGGGCUGCUGCCAACCUCGGGGUGAUCAUGUGACCCCAAGGCUAGCCAGCAAGAGGACCUCAUUCCUCCACCACAGACAGCAGGACAGGGGUGGGCAUGGGGCCCGAGCCCACACAAAGCCCUGCCUGGGAUUUUGCUGAAGACAGAAGCACCCUGACCCUCCAAGUUGGGAGUUUCGAGGACCCCCUGAACUUAGAGCUCCUGGGCCGUCUUUCCCUGAGAAUGAAGCCAACACAGGCAGGAUUGAGCUUAGAGUCUGAAUUAGAUGGUGCCUAGUGACCGCCUCUGAACUCCUGGACCCAGCUACACCUGAAGCCACUCUACCCCACAUUUUCUAGGCAAGUCAACCUGCAAACGCCCUUCUUUUCUGAAAUGAGCUUGGGUUGGGAUUCUGUCACUUCAACCAAAAGGACCCCAGCCAUGCAAUGUUGCAAUAUCGAAGUAGGAUGGUCUAGGCUUUAUGAGUGGCAGACCGAGGCGGGGCAGGAAGAUGGAGGCUUUCUGGCUCCCAACAGGUGGAAGAGGGGAGUCUCCGGGGUGGCCAGAUACAUCUACAGACUCACUUGCCCCUGGGCUGUUCUCCAAAACCGCCGUGGAGGUGGGACUCCGACCCAUCUGAGCCUCUUCCUGACCUGGACCACCUGGGACAGCUGUGUUUACAGCAUCUGGGCCCUUGAGCGACUUUCCUGUAUGACUGCAUGGCUAAUAGCACUUCUCCUCGACACCGGUGCUGUUCUCGGAAUCCUAUCUAGAGCUUACAGGUGAGUUGUGGGUAUUAUGAUUGACACUUUGCAAAAGAGGAAACUGAAGUUUAAAUAUCAAGGCAGCCCAGCUGGUGAGCAGCUGAGUCAGGAUCCCAGCCCGAGGCUCUGCAACAACAGCACCCUAGGGGCACCGUGGUGGCUUGGGGGCCUCUGCACAUGCAGCUUCUGGGCCCCACCCUGAGGCUUCCAGUGGGAUUUGUCUGGGUGUUGGGAACUCUAACCAUGAAACAGCUCCUCUAUACCCAGCCCCAUGGGUGAAGAGUGAGGUCUGUUCCCCUUGGGCCCUGACAGUGCCCAGGCCAGGGGGCCAGUCCUGGGAGUGCCCGCCCAGCCCUGAGCCCCAGCAAGUCCAGCAGAGCCCAUGGAUGGUGGGGAUCCCAGCCUUCCACUCACUGCAUGCCUUGGGGUGAGCCUCGAGGUGGAUCCAGCCCGGGGAGCCAGUGCCUGGGUUCUUCCACCUCAAUCUCACUCUUCUGGUUAAGCACUGGCUUCUUCCGCUUAGGUCCCUGG
This 1423-nucleotide long non-coding RNA is filed under the name Homo sapiens (human). Its description in RNAcentral is "HSALNT0274214". The record is from RNAcentral. Lineage: Eukaryota; Metazoa; Chordata; Mammalia; Primates; Hominidae.